CCAAACUUUGUGAUGAAUGGAUCUCCUGUUCCUCAAGUUCAUGUAAGCCUAAACUUGAUUGCAGAAGUGAUGAAACAGCAAACUUCUGUUGCCUAUCAACAAACUGAGACUCAACUGAUGAAGAUUUGUCAGUCUAGACGUCCUCCGACGGAAGGGGAGGCCGGCGUCAACCUGAAUCUCGGAAUUGUUGCGAGGAAGGGAGCGCAGGCGAUCAAAGGCGAAGCGAAGACGCGGGGAGGCCUUCCGCCCACGUGCGCACCUG
Non-coding RNA from Thamnophis sirtalis, 262 nucleotides. The record is from RefSeq and is a predicted model, not a curated record. NCBI's taxonomy places the organism in Eukaryota, Metazoa, Chordata, Lepidosauria, Squamata, Natricidae.